CAGUUAUACAAGUAAUGCCAGCCCUCAUUCACAUGUGUUGAAACACCAUCCUUCUCCAGAACCUUUAAAGCACAGUUUUUGGGUUUGUUCUUUUUGCAUUAUUAUCACUAAAGUAUGUCUUAAAACAAUUUUUGGAUUCUAGCUCAUAGUAUUUCCAGCUAAACUGGCAGAGAUCAAAGGAGCUGGAAUUAAUUCAGUGAAGCAGAAUGAAUGCAAGUGAGAAGGAGCCACAUGAGAUGCUGCUGCUGCUGCUGCUACUAAGUCGAUUUGGUCAUGUCCAACUCUUAGCGACCCCAUGGACUGAAGCCUACCAGGCUCCUCUGUCCAUGGGAUUUUCUAGGUAAGAGCACUGGAGUGGGUUGUCAUUGCCUUCUCCAACAUGAGAUGGAGCGUAUCUUAUUCUCCUCUUUAUCUCAUUACUCAGUCUACCCCAUAGAGCAGACUGGUGAAAUAUUGGCUUCCAGUGGCCAGUGUUAAGUAGGAACUGGAGCCACUGCAUUGAAAUAGCAAAGGGUCCAGUUGUUGGAUCUUUUGUAGAUGGCUUAAAUGUUCUUCUCUGUUCCUUGUCUCCCUGCAAAAAGCUCCCCACGGAAAGCUUGCUCCCUUUGGGUGUUCUCUUCCUUUUUUUCCAACUUCAUUGUAGGGGUCCAGUUGAAGUGAGGCAGCAAGCCCCAAACCUUUCUCUAAUUCUCCAAUUGCUAGGAAAUGCUUUGCUUUGAGAGCUAUCGGGAGGCUAUUGAUAAACUAAUACCAUAGUUGGCUCUUGUUAGUUCCUUAACUAU
Molecule: long non-coding RNA, 782 nt
Filed under: Bos indicus x Bos taurus (hybrid cattle)
Lineage: Eukaryota; Metazoa; Chordata; Mammalia; Artiodactyla; Bovidae
Description: lncRNA (ENSBIXG00005008119.1)
Source: RNAcentral